UGGACUAAUCACCUGUGUAUCUCAACAUAAACACUUAUUAGUCCAUAUAAGUUGUCAAUCAAUUACCAAAACCAAACAGGGUCUCACACCUAAGACCGUAGACUGUGUCUUCCUGGGUUAUGCACAUAACAGUGCAGCUUAUAGAUUUCUAGUGGUCCAUUCCGAGACAAGUGAAGUUGCUAUAAAUGUAAUAAUGGAGUCUCGAGAUGUGACAUUCUUUGAGAGCAUCUUCCCUAUGCGGGAUAAGGAAGUAGUAGCCCCAGAUGGUCCAUCUCGGACAUAUUCUCUGCCCUCGAGUGUCAAUGACCAGACUCCAGAUUUGGAGUUAAGGAGGAGUAAGAGACAAAGGAUUGAAAAGUCUCUGGGUGAUGAUUAUAUUAUCUAUCUAGUGGAUGAAGAACCACGCUCCCUCACAGAGGCAUAUACAUCUCCGGAUGCAGAGUACUGGAGGGAGGCUGUCCGUAGCGAGAUGCAAUCAUCUCGAACGGAACUUGGGAGAUAACUGAUCUCCCAGCUGGUUGCAAGCCUGUGGGCUGUAAAUGGAUCUUUAGGAGGAAGAGGAGACCCGAUGGUACUAUUGAAAAGUACAAGGCCCGUCUUGUGGCUAAGGGUUUUACUCAAAAGAAAGAGGAGGAUUAUUUUGAUACUUAUUCUCCGGUGGCUCGAUUGCCCACAAUCCGUGUGCUUUUAGCACUGGCAGCUGCUUAUAAACUUCUUGUCCAUCAAAUGGAUGUAAAGACAGCAUUCCUAAAUGGAGAGCUGGAAGAGGAAAUUUAUAUGCAGCAACCAGAAGGAUUUGUGGUUAAAGGUCAAGAGAGCAAAGUGUGUCGCUUGAUUAAAUCCUUAUACGGUCUUAAGCAAGCUCCCAGACAAUGGCAUGAGAAGUUUAAUAAUACUCUGACCACUGCCGGGUUUUGUGUAAACGAAGCCGACAAGUGUGUGUAUUAUCGCUUCUCUGGGGGCAAAGGUGUCAUCAUGUGUUUAUACGUUGAUGACAUAUUGAUAUUUGGGACCGAUUUGGAGGCUAUCAUGGAGACAAAACUAUUCCUCUCCCAGAACUUUGAUAUGAAGGACUUGGGUGAAGCUGAUGUUAUACUGAACAUCAAGCUGAUAAAGGGUGAGGAUGGGAUUACUUUGUCACAAUCCCAUUAUGUGGAAAAGGUUCUGACUCGCUUUGGACAUAUGGACUGUAAACCAGUCACCACGCCCUAUGAUCCAUCCUACACGCUCAGUAAAUAUGAAGGCGAGCCUGUGAACCAGCUACUAUAUUCACAGAUCAUCGGAUCUCUCAUGUACCUGAGCAGUGCAACUAGACCAGAUAUCUCAUAUGCAGUAUGCAGACUGGCUCGUUAUUCGGCCAGUCCAGGAGAUAGACACUGGGUAGCCUUGCACAGAGUGCUUCGGUAUUUGAAGGGAGCGAUGAAUCUUGGUAUUAAAUAUACCGGAUUUCCGUCAGUACUUGAAGGAUUCAGUGAUGCAAACUGGAUCUCUGACUCAGAUCAAAUGAAGUCUACAAGUGGCUAUGUGUUCACUUUAGUUGGUGGGGCCGUGUCAUGGAGAUCGUCUAAACAAUCAGUGUCGACACGUUCCACCAAGGAGGCUGAAUUAGUUGCACUUGAUUCAGCAGCAUUGGAGGCUGAAUGGUUGAGAGACCUGUUGUCAGACCUUCCAAUGCUAGCAAAGCCGAUACCGGCUGUCUUAGUAUACUGUGACAACACUUCUGUGUUGCUAAAAGUGAACAGUAGAAAGGACAACCAAAAAUCCUCGAGGCAUAUCAGAAGACGACUUGAUUCAUGUCGGCAUGCUAGAGAGACGGGUAUAAUAACCGUAGAUUACAUCAAGUCUGAAAGGAACCUUGCUGAUCCUUUCACCAAAGGGCUGGCUCAAAAGCCAAUCCAAGCAGCGUGCAUGGGAAUGGGACUCGUACCCUGUUAGCGGUUUCAACUGCGGAUAACUGUCCUGUGUGACCGGAGGUCCCGAGAUCCAGGCUCCAGGAAACGAAGCACUGUGGAACCAAGAGCACAAACGAUAAAGAGUCUUAUGAGCUGCUGUGCUCUGUCUGUAUGGCAGGUUGAGCGAUAUGCUCUUAAUGAAGUCAAUGCUAUAAGCAGGGAAAUUGUCCUACAGAAUUUCCUUAACGAUUUCACCUAUAUGAGCUGACUGUGGGGUCGCAGUCCGGGAGAGAAUGGGGUUUUCUCUCUAGUGAGUUCAUGAAUAGAUAUUAAAGGGCAUGACCGUAACGCCCUGCCCCGUAAGAGAAGCAGAUAAUCUGCCUAGUACUAUGUGCCUUUUGUGCGAAGAUUCUCACACUAGGGUUUGUGGAUCAAGGCGUAGUCCUCCGCUUACUCGUGCUGGGUUGGAGUACACUGGGAUAGGCUUUGGUUCAAACCUAACAAGUACCUCUGCCAAAAAGUAGUAUAUAAACAGUACGGGAGCUCAAUGACAUUGAUCAGAAAUAACAGUGAAAAUGGUGGGGAUUGCUGUUCAUUUGAAGGGAUUUUCCCUUUAUUUUCUUUAUUGAAAAUAUGAGAAAUGAAAUUAAAAAAAAAGGAGAAAUGGCCACCCGCUGGGCCGCUACCAGGCCGGUUGGGCCGAGCAGCCCAGCAGGGCAGCCGGCUGGUAACAAAAGGUAGGGCACGUCGUGCCUUACGCAGGGGCAGGAGGCAAGCGGCCAGGGGGCCUGUGGCGGCGGCAGCUUGUGCUGUUCCGAUCUGGGCGGCGUAUCCUGUCGGAGCUCUCGCGAUAUGGUUGCUGCUCCUCCUCUCGGCUCCAUAUAUGGAGGCUUGUUCCCCUGGCUGGCUCUCCACGGGAGAGAAGCUGGUUCUCUGUUCUUCUCCCACUCACUGUUUCAAUCGCAACUCGCUCGAUCCACUGCUCCACCAGUGGCUGCUCCACGGAGGUUGUGCUGCUCGUGCGCAGUGAGGCUCUCCGGUGCUCUAUUGCUUCACCAGUGCGCGUGUGUGCUGUGGUUGAUUCUCUGGUCUCUGUCCACCGUGGCCUGGUGCUUGGGCUCCCUGCUGCGCGGUGUUCCUCUUCUCGGACCGGUGCCGUGGACGUCUCCCUCGGCUCCGGCAGCGGCUCUAGUAUCUCCGUCAACCUCCCGCCGUGCAGGUCCGGACGUGGGCGGCGGAUUGGUUUUCUGGGACAGAACCUCGUGUUCGCUGAGCUGGUCUUCCCACGUAGACAAUCUACGUGCUGUGAGUUACCCGUUGCCUCUCAUUAUUUAUUGAGUAAUUUUGUGCAAUCUGCUAGUAUUAUUUACUUGGGUGUGAUUGCACAAUUUGUGGGCGGAUUUGAUUGCUCGAUGAUGAUAGCGGUGUAGUGAGACGACGUGACAGUCUGGGUUUUAGUGUGUUGUUAUUUUCAGCAUUGAUAUUAUUUGUGCCUAGUUAUUUCUUACUAUUGUGCAAGCUGAUUAUUUAAGUUCAUUAUUGUUCCUUAAUUCUUAUGCACACUGUUUUGAUCUUAAUAUUCAUGCUUGAUUUCUAGGCUCAUAAUAUUUGUUCUAAAACCAUGUUUUGGUAAGAUAGGACUGUCACGUUAGUCGAGGAUCUUUGAUCACCCUUUAGCGUUGGAGGGCUGUCUUGCGCAGCAACCCGCUAUUUUGAGAGCAAUACUUUAAGAUAAACAAUUAUGUUUAUUUGUUUAAUCUGCCUUCUUCAUCUGCAAGCCAUGUUUAAUUUUCAAAUGGACCUGUGUAGCUAUUUUACAUGUUUACAUGCUUAGAAUUGCUACUGUUCAUUGCUGCUAUAAUUACAUAUGGCAUUUGUCUGAGUUAUAUGCUUGUUUUAUUCGGAAUUAGAAUAUUUAAUCUAUUUAAAUAUGUAGAAAGCAUGUCACUUAUUUCUCUAAAUUUACAACAGGCCCUUGCAGGGGAUCUUUGGCUUGGUAGAGUCCUAAGUCAAGCAUAUUCUGGCCGGGCUCCUUUUUUUUAAAACUAGAAUAAUGUUCAUCUAAGCGAGAUUAAUUAAUCGUAUCAUUGCUCAAUCUUGUUCAUCCUUUUGAAGUGUGACUUUGCACAAGCUUGCAAAUUCGGUUUUAAUUAAUCUAGCAUUCACGCCGAUGUUAUAUGUGCCAAAUUAAGCACAUAUAACCACCACUUGGAAUACUUCAAACAACAGUUGAAAGUCUACUUUUUACAAGAAAAUCAUCAUGCCACUGAGUUGAAAUUCAACCGUGUAUAUAUAUAUAUAAGAAAGGGUUUGAUUUGGUAAACACUAUCGAGUGAAAAAAUAUUUUUGUUUUAUAGAAAGGCAUCCACAAAAAGAAAAAGAAAAAACGACAUAGAUGCCUUGUUCAGUCACAGCAGCAUGGCGCUAAGGCGGCGAUGACGUACACGAUAAACACGAAUGGUAUCUGCAGGGACUAGCUAAACUAAAUGUCGAAAUCAUAUAUCAGUCUAGGAUCAGUAAGUGGUACACUGGUACUGUAGUAGGUAAGCGGUAAGCGACAUGUUGAUAAUUUUCUCCCUCAAGGCUAGUUUAGUGACCAAAGAAAUACAUGGGAUCUAUAGGCGAGAAAUCUGCAAAAGAAUUUUUCCAUAGAUAUCCUAUAUUUUCCAAAUCACCAAAUCAGCCUAAAAAAGAGAGAGAACGCACUGUUCAGAAGUGUGUACGGUGUAAUAUACAACCACGCGCAUCCAUUAUUAUCUUCAUCGAAAUCUUGGAGAAGCAAAUUAAUAUUCAUCCAGAAAGAAAAAAAAUUGAAAUGACAACUGACAACAGAGGGGGCGGGCUACCUCUAGAGACUCGGCAUCAUCAGGCAGGCACGCAGCAACUUGCAGACUAGGGAGGAGAUAAGCAAGGACGAUGGAGAUUUUGGAUGGCUUUUCGUUUGUCGGUACAGCACCGGCAACUUGACGCUCCGGGCUCCACGCCAAAAGCAGGGGCGCGGCGUGCAGCUUGCAAUUGCAUUGGGCCUCCAUAUCAAGUGGACAAGUUCUUCAUACGGCGUCGGGCGCAUGGCCCCAACCCCAAGCGGGCCAGGGACAACGUCGGCCGCCGCAUUUCUCUUGAUUCUUCGUUGGCUCGCGUUUCCAAGCUGGUUGUCAGGCUCUUCCUACGCUGUGUUCGAUCGGACGCCACUCGUUUUCGUCCCUCCUCAGGUAGCUCACCUUGUAUCUCCGUGCGACAUGGGCAGAGACGCGGCCGGGCAUGUCUAUCCGGGCAAGGAUCUCUGUAGCAGCCGGCGGCUGCGCACGCACACGCACGUGUAGUGGGCGCGUGUGUG
This 5229-nucleotide long non-coding RNA is filed under the name Zea mays. RNAcentral's name for it is "long non-coding RNA (ZMAY_LNC005631)". The record is from RNAcentral. Lineage: Eukaryota; Viridiplantae; Streptophyta; Magnoliopsida; Poales; Poaceae.